Molecule: ribosomal RNA, 249 nt
Filed under: uncultured bacterium
Lineage: Bacteria
Description: partial 16S ribosomal RNA
Rfam family: Bacterial small subunit ribosomal RNA
Source: RNAcentral
CACGCUGUAAACGAUGAAUACUAGGUGUGCGGGGACUGACCCCCUGCGUGCCGCAGCUAACGCAAUAAGUAUUCCACCUGGGGAGUACGAUCGCAAGGUUGAAACUCAAAGGAAUUGACGGGGGCCCGCACAAGCGGUGGAUUAUGUGGUUUAAUUCGAAGCAACGCGAAGAACCUUACCAGGGCUUGACAUCCUACUAACGAAGUAGAGAUACAUCAGGUGCCCUUCGGGGAAAGUAGAGACAGGUGG